This 230-nucleotide ribosomal RNA is filed under the name uncultured bacterium. Its description in RNAcentral is "partial 16S ribosomal RNA". It matches the Rfam family "Bacterial small subunit ribosomal RNA", at positions 524 to 753 of the family's 1533-position model. The record is from RNAcentral.
UACGAAGGGUGCAAGCGUUACUCGGAAUUACUGGGCGUAAAGCGUGCGUAGGUGGUUUGUUAAGUCUGAUGUGAAAGCCCUGGGCUCAACCUGGGAAUUGCAUUGGAUACUGGCAGGCUAGAGUGCGGUAGAGGAUGGCGGAAUUCCCGGUGUAGCAGUGAAAUGCGUAGAGAUCGGGAGGAACAUCUGUGGCGAAGGCGGCCAUCUGGACCAGCACUGACACUGAGGCA